This 251-nucleotide ribosomal RNA is filed under the name uncultured bacterium. Its description in RNAcentral is "partial 16S ribosomal RNA". It matches the Rfam family "Bacterial small subunit ribosomal RNA", at positions 524 to 774 of the family's 1533-position model. The record is from RNAcentral.
UACGUAGGUGGCGAGCGUUGUCCGGAUUUACUGGGUGUAAAGGGCGCGUAGGCGGAUUUGCAAGUCAGAUGUGAAAUACCGGGGCUUAACUCCGGAACUGCAUUUGAAACUGUAGACCUUGAGUGCCGGAGAGGAAAGCGGAAUUCCUAGUGUAGCGGUGAAAUGCGUAGAUAUUAGGAGGAACACCAGUGGCGAAGGCGGCUUUCUGGACGGUAACUGACGCUGAGGCGCGAAAGUGUGGGUAGCAAACA